GAUGGACAGCCCACGCAACGUAGACGUUCAGCUGGUCAAACAUUCACUUCGAAACCUGAUGUGUGUGUAGACGCAUGCAGAACCCAAAUCUUGUUUGGUAUACGACCCCUACAGGAAGAGCAUGGCGACGAACCCAAGGACGCUAGACAAAUCGCCCUGGACGUCUGGAAGUCCUUGUACUUGGAAAU
Ornithodoros turicata is the source of this 188-nucleotide long non-coding RNA. RefSeq lists it as uncharacterized. The record is from RefSeq and is a predicted model, not a curated record. NCBI's taxonomy places the organism in Eukaryota, Metazoa, Arthropoda, Arachnida, Ixodida, Argasidae. The transcript is spliced from 3 exons.